GGGUUGGUCUAAGAUCUCAAGGCUAAGAUUCUUCUUGAAAAGAAGAAUCUUCUAUGAGGAGAGAUCAGUUCGAGAUUGAUCUCCGUUGAUAUCCAUAGAGGCCAGACAUGUGUGUGGCUCAAGCAUCUACAAAUUCAUGAUCAUCAAAAGCAGUGAAUAUCUAUCCACGCCAAGAUAAUGAGAUCCGAUCUCAUACUUGUCUCUCAAUUUUAGAUCAUAUAUAU
RNAcentral lists this long non-coding RNA (224 nucleotides) under Elaeis guineensis (African oil palm). RNAcentral describes it as "long non-coding RNA (EGUI_LNC067757)". Lineage: Eukaryota; Viridiplantae; Streptophyta; Magnoliopsida; Arecales; Arecaceae. The record is from RNAcentral.